GUGCCAGCAGCCGCGGUAAUACGGGGAUGGCGAGCGUUACUCGGAUUUACUGGGUGUAAAGGGCAGGUAGGCGGCUCUGAAAGUUGAAGGUGAAAUGCUCUGACUCAAUCAGAGAACUGCCUUCAAAACUACAGGGCUUGAGGAUUUGAGAGGAGAGCGGAAUUCCCGGUGUAAGGGUGAAAUCUGUAGAUAUCGGGAGGAACACCCGUGGCGAAAGCGGCUCUCUGGCAAAUCCCUGACGCUGAGCUGCGAAAGCUAGGGGAGCAAACAGGAUUAGAAACCCCUGUAGUCC
RNAcentral lists this ribosomal RNA (292 nucleotides) under uncultured bacterium. RNAcentral describes it as "partial 16S ribosomal RNA". It matches the Rfam family "Bacterial small subunit ribosomal RNA", at positions 505 to 796 of the family's 1533-position model. The record is from RNAcentral.